Molecule: ribosomal RNA, 462 nt
Filed under: uncultured bacterium
Lineage: Bacteria
Description: partial 16S ribosomal RNA
Rfam family: Bacterial small subunit ribosomal RNA
Source: RNAcentral
GACGAACGCUGGCGGCGUGCUUAACACAUGCAAGUCGAACGGAAAGGCCCUUCGGGGUCCUCGAGUGGCGAACGGGUGAGUAACACGUGGGUGAUCUGCCCUGCACUUUGGGAUAAGCCUGGGAAACUGGGUCUAAUACCGAAUAGGACCACGCGCUUCAUGAUGUGUGGUGGAAAGCUUUUGCGGUGUGGGAUGGGCCCGCGGCCUAUCAGCUUGUUGGUGGGGUAAUGGCCUACCAAGGCGACGACGGGUAGCCGGCCUGAGAGGGUGACCGGCCACACUGGGACUGAGAUACGGCCCAGACUCCUACGGGAGGCAGCAGUGGGGAAUAUUGCACAAUGGGCGCAAGCCUGAUGCAGCGACGCCGCGUGAGGGAUGACGGCCUUCGGGUUGUAAACCUCUUUCAAUAGGGACGAAGCGCAAGUGACGGUACCUAUAGAAGAAGCACCGGCCAACUACGUG